GUCAUAACCACAUGCCACACAACAGAAUUCAGUUUCCACUUUCGAAUGCCAAAGAGCGAUUGAAGGAAUGGGAAGAAGGGUGAGUGAGUGCAUAGGAUGAAAAUCAUGUCGAAUUCUUUUAGGAAUGUUAGAGCAUACCUCAUGGAGAAAGUAACGACAACAAUCACAACCAUAAGCUACCCCGGAUAUUGUAAUAGCACACAUAUUGCAUCUUAUAACUUCUGUUCCUUUAAGAUGAAAUCUUAGCAGAGGAUGUCUGUGGCUGAAGUGCAACAGAUCACCAUCACGAACACGAGGAGGCGUUUUUGACACACAACUUUCCUCUUCCUUUGCAAUCAAUUUAGAACAGCUU
Molecule: unclassified non-coding RNA, 352 nt
Filed under: Hevea brasiliensis (rubber tree)
Lineage: Eukaryota; Viridiplantae; Streptophyta; Magnoliopsida; Malpighiales; Euphorbiaceae
Source: RNAcentral